Molecule: non-coding RNA, 21 nt
Filed under: Arabidopsis thaliana (thale cress)
Lineage: Eukaryota; Viridiplantae; Streptophyta; Magnoliopsida; Brassicales; Brassicaceae
Source: RNAcentral
GGUGCUGUGGUGUAGUGGUUA